Molecule: ribosomal RNA, 454 nt
Filed under: uncultured Prevotella sp.
Lineage: Bacteria; Pseudomonadati; Bacteroidota; Bacteroidia; Bacteroidales; Prevotellaceae
Description: partial 16S ribosomal RNA
Rfam family: Bacterial small subunit ribosomal RNA
Source: RNAcentral
ACGGGAGGCAGCAGUGAGGAAUAUUGGUCAAUGGGCGAGAGCCUGAACCAGCCAAGUAGCGUGCAGGAUGACGGCCCUAUGGGUUGUAAACUGCUUUUUUGAGGGCAUAAAGUGAGCCACGUGUGGCUUUUUGCAUGUACCUUAUGAAUAAGGACCGGCUAAUUCCGUGCCAGCAGCCGCGGUAAUACGGAAGGUCCGGGCGUUAUCCGGAUUUAUUGGGUUUAAAGGGAGCGUAGGCGGCCUUUUAAGCGUGUUGUGAAAUGCACCGGCUCAACCGUGGCACUGCAGCGCGAACUGGAGGGCUUGAGUGCGGAGGAAGUAGGCGGAAUUCGUCGUGUAGCGGUGAAAUGCUUAGAUAUGACGAAGAACUCCGAUUGCGAAGGCAGCUUACUGUAGCGUAACUGACGCUGAAGCUCGAAAGUGCGGGUAUCGAACAGGAUUAGAUACCCUGGUA